RNAcentral lists this ribosomal RNA (429 nucleotides) under Bacteroidota bacterium. Its description in RNAcentral is "Bacteroidetes bacterium partial 16S ribosomal RNA". It matches the Rfam family "Bacterial small subunit ribosomal RNA", at positions 355 to 776 of the family's 1533-position model. The record is from RNAcentral. Lineage: Bacteria; Pseudomonadati; Bacteroidota.
UAGGGAAUCUUCCGCAAUGGACGCAAGUCUGACGGAGCAACGCCGCGUGAGUGAAGAAGGAUUUCGGUUCGUAAAACUCUGUUGUUAGAGAAGAACAGCGCAUAGAGUAACUGUUAUGCGUGUGACGGUAUCUAACCAGAAAGCCACGGCUAACUACGUGCCAGCAGCCGCGGUAAUACGUAGGUGGCAAGCGUUGUCCGGAUUUAUUGGGCGUAAAGCGAGCGCAGGCGGUCAAUUAAGUCUGAUGUGAAAGCCCCCGGCUCAACCGGGGAGGGUCAUUGGAAACUGGUUGACUUGAGUGCAGAAGAGGAGAGUGGAAUUCCAUGUGUAGCGGUGAAAUGCGUAGAUAUAAGGAGGAACACCAGUGGCGAAGGCGACUCUCUGGUCUGUAACUGACGCAGAGGCUCGAAAGCGUGGGUAGCAAACAGG